Marmota monax (woodchuck) is the source of this 2067-nucleotide RNA transcript. It is a transcript of the gene named serpin B6-like, with no coding region annotated. The record is from RefSeq and is a predicted model, not a curated record. The transcript has 9 exons. Lineage: Eukaryota; Metazoa; Chordata; Mammalia; Rodentia; Sciuridae.
ACACUUGUGUAUUUUGUCUUUGUAACUUUGUGAGUAAAUUUGUAAUUUUUAAUGAUUUCCAAAUUAAAUGAUACAAUAAGCUCUUAUAACACACCAAAGAAUACAGACAUGGAAGCCAAAGUCAAUCACCCUUUCUCUUACCCACUCCAGGAAGUGACUGCAGCAAUGUGGUGCCUGUGUCCCCCCCCACCCCGACUUUGCCCAUGCAAACAAAGAAGUGUGCAGAUACAGGUCUUCACACAACAGGAUCAUAGUAUUAAAUUUUACUCUUCUUUUUCAUUUAAUAUUAGGACAUAAAAUAAUCUUGAGACCCCAAAAAGACCCUCAGAGUUCUGUGUGUGUCUGUUUGCUUAUUGCACCACAGCAGCAGUGGUGUUAAUGGGAGGGAAAGUGCAGUUGGCCUGUGAGCCUGUGUUCAUGUGAUACUGAUCUGAAGUCCAUCGUUCCAGGCUCGCCAUCAUGGAUCCUCUGUUGGAAGCCACUGGCACCUUUGCCUUAAACCUUCUAAAAACGCUGGGUGAAGACAGUUCAAGAAAUGUGUUUCACUCACCCAUCAGCAUCUCCUUGGCCCUGGCCAUGGUCCUCAUGGGGGCAAAGGGAACCACCGCAGUCCAGAUGGCUCAGGCACUUUCCUUAAAUAAAAGCAGCAGCAGUGAUGGUGGAGAUGUGCACCAGGGCUUCCAGUCCCUUCUCACCGAAUUGAACAAGUCGGACACACAGUACUUGCUUAGAACAGCCAACAGGGUCUUUGGAGAAAAGUCUUAUGAUUUCCUCUCAUCUUUUAAAGAUUCCUGCCAGAAUUUGUACCAAGCAGAGAUGGAAGAGCUUGACUUUCUGAAUGCUACAGAGGAGUCCAGAAAACACAUAAACACCUGGGUAGCUAAAGAGACAGAAGAUAAAAUUACAAAGUUGCUGUCUCCAGGUUCAUUGGAUAAAAUCACCAAACUGGUUCUCGAGAAUGCCAUCUACUUCAAAGGAAACUGGGAUACACAGUUUGACAAAGAGCUCACCCAGGAGAGACCAUUUAAAGUCAGCAAGAAUGAGGAGAAGCCUGUGCAAAUGAUGUUUAAGGAGUCUACUUUUAAAAUGACCUAUAUACGGGAAAUAUGCACCAAGAUUCUGGUCCUUCCCUACGUCAGCAAGGAGCUGAAUAUGAUCAUCAUGCUGCCCGAUGAGCACAUUGACUUGAAAACGGAUCUGAAAUUGCCCCUCUCUGUGGGUCUGUGGUCAUGUUGGCUGCUGGGUUCAUUCAUCCGUGCCGGGGAUAUGCUGUCACCCACCCUGUUGCAGCUGGGAAGGACCCCGUGGCUUCACUGUGGGCAGAUAACUGCCAUCACCAUUGGCCCUUCUCCAGGCAUGAUGGGGAGGACCUCCACUGUUGCCCUCUGACUUCACUGCUGCUAGUCUCGUGCUCAUUCUGCACCUGGUCCCUGUGAUGCCCAAGCUGUGGUGACAGAAUGGAAUUGUUGAGCAUCAUGGAACAUAGAAAUUAGGAUUGAGCUGCAGCAGCACAAGCAUCCAAGGUCCUUCCUAAGACCCAGAUCAAGCCACGAGGCCAGGACAUUUGCACAGGAUGAUGGUGGCAGCUUCAAGAGUAGCUCAGCCAAUCCUGGGACAACUCUACUGGGCCCUCACUCCCAGGAGAGCCUCCCAGUCUGAGUCUGGGUCCUAGAUGUCCAAUCCCUGGACGAUGUUUGCCAGGACAGGCAGCAGCCACUCCUCCCAAGAUACACCCACAGGCCCAGGCCAUGACCACAGAAAUGCCUGGAAGCGGGUGAGGAGGAGGACUACUACCUGUGCCCAAAACCUCUGCUGCUGCAGACCAUGUCAGCAAUCAAGUGGCUCCAAAGACAGAGAGAAGAAAUGUGCCACAUCCAUAAACAGCGAGGCUCCAAGGAGUGCAGAGCUCAGCCAGGAGACGCCAGCACAGGGCCUGAGUCUCCUCUGCCUCCACCUGUGGAAGACGUCAGACUGUUCUGCCUGAGACACUUUGCCCUGCCCUGCUCGGCCCUUCUUCCUUUUCCCCAUUCUUCUGAGAUGUUUCUGAAUAAAUUUGUUUCAGACCAA